CCUAGGGCUUAGCUAGGCGCCGAUAAUUAAGCUCAGAAUCAGCUUGGUUUGUACAGGAACAAUAAACGUUUUAUUUCAACAAAUAGACCUACCAUCUUGGCAGGAUGAAACCUUAUUCUUUGAUAGCUGUUUCUGUCUUCGUAGCCUUGACAUGUCUGAUGGAAAUCGUUGUUGGGGAGUGCCAUGUCAGAGGUAGUGUGUUCCAACAUAUGGAGACGACCGACCCAUUUGAAAUGUGUUGGUGUAUUUUCGACACAGAGGCCUGUGUUUGAGGGCACAAUAACUAUAUUAUAAGGGCUGAUAAAGCUUGGAAAGUGAUAAUAAAU
This is a long non-coding RNA of Physella acuta, 326 nucleotides long. RefSeq lists it as uncharacterized. NCBI's taxonomy places the organism in Eukaryota, Metazoa, Mollusca, Gastropoda, Physidae. The record is from RefSeq and is a predicted model, not a curated record.